GUAAUGCCGGAUGCUCCAGUUGACCGCAUGGUCCUCUGGGAAAGCUUUUGCGGUAUGGGAUGGGGUCGCGUCCUAUCAGCUUGAUGGCGGGGUAACGGCCCACCAUGGCUUCGACGGGUAGCCGGCCUGAGAGGGCGACCGGCCACAUUGGGACUGAGAUACGGCCCAGACUCCUACGGGAGGCAGCAGUGGGGAAUAUUGCACAAUGGGCGCAAGCCUGAUGCAGCGACGCCGCGUGCGGGAUGACGGCCUUCGGGUUGUAAACCGCUUUUGACUGGGAGCAAGCCCUUCGGGGUGAGUGUACCUUUCGAAUAAGCACCGGCUAACUACGUGCCAGCAGCCGCGGUAAUACGUAGGGUGCAAGCGUUAUCCGGAAUUAUUGGGCGUAAAGGGCUCGUAGGCGGUUCGUCGCGUCCGGUGUGAAAGUCCAUCGCUUAACGGUGGAUCCGCGCCGGGUACGGGCGGGCUUGAGUGCGGUAGGGGAGACUGGAAUUCCCGGUGUAACGGUGGAAUGUGUAGAUAUCGGAAA
This 529-nucleotide ribosomal RNA is filed under the name Bifidobacterium adolescentis. Its description in RNAcentral is "partial 16S ribosomal RNA". It matches the Rfam family "Bacterial small subunit ribosomal RNA", at positions 163 to 703 of the family's 1533-position model. Lineage: Bacteria; Bacillati; Actinomycetota; Actinomycetes; Bifidobacteriales; Bifidobacteriaceae. The record is from RNAcentral.